UUACAUAUGGAUCCUGCUGCUCGUCUAAAUUGUGAACAGUUGUUGGAUCAUCCAUACUUUGACAGCCUCAGAAAAGAACUGGAAAUGAGCAAGCAAAAAGCUCUGAAAAGGCGUGUAAAACCACCACGCAGAAAUGCACCAGCAUUGCAGUACUUACCACAACUUACCAGCAGCAAUAUACCUCCAUCCAUGGAAAGCAAGAAGUAUUUCAAGCAGAAAUAUAAUUACCAUCUACCUAAUAUUUAAGCAAGUGGCAUGAACACACCAAGUUAUAAAAGACACCAACUGAGGAAACCAAGUGUCCAAAAGAGAUGUUAAAGUUUUUAAAACUUUGGUGGGCGUUUAAAAUGGAGACUUAUCAUAAUGUUACCCAGCCUGAGAUUGUAUGCACUUUCUUUAAGUUUGUUAUUUUUCUUUUAGUGUGUUUAAAAUGAAUGAAAAUGAGCAUGUUCCAGAAGGUAUCUGGUCACAGGUUUCUUUUUAAAAUGUGUACAAUGUCUGUACAAAGAAACAGCACUGUAUUUUAUGCAUUACUACAUGCUAAAAUGUUUUAAACUGUAAGCCUAUUUGCUGGACAGAACACAAGUCACAUUAGCAUUUAGUAUCGUAACUUACCUAAGAAGUGCAAUGUUUCACUUACCAAAAGUUGACUGAGUCAAGAAUACUGCCAACAUUAGUCUCCUACAGCUAUGAGAUCACCAGGCCAAAGAUUCUUUUUAGCCUUUAUCUAACAACAUAUCACUGACUUUUUUUAGACUUAAAGCAGUGUAUUAAGGGAUUGAAAUAUUGGAUUCACAACCUGCAAACUCAACAGAAUUUUUUUAAAAAAUUGUUAUGCUUUCAGACCUCACCUGACUCCUGCAUGAAAUUAUUUGGAAUAGUGUGGUUUGCGUUUCUGAUGAGUUCUAAAACCACCUAUUUCAGCCAACUCCUUAAAAUACACUGCUGAAAAGUUUUCACUUCUUUACAUUCUUGCUCCAUUUAGAUUCCAACUCUAGUACAGUGCUCAAUGUAGUCAAGAACAGCUGUUUAGUCCAACAGAUAACCUAAAUUAAAACAAUUCAAUUUGGCUGCACAUAAAUAUUUCAUUUUAAAAUUAUCAAUUACUGGAUCAAAACUGCAAAUAAAUGUCAGUUCUUAACAUGCAAAAUUCAGUGUUCUGCUUACCAUGUAUUUGUAUGCAGGAGUGACUUAGCUUGAUACAAUUUUGAUAUGAAUAAAAUAAGCAGUUACAACAUUCAUUUAAAAAAUACACAAACUGAGAAUUAGCAUUGAAAAGCUGAUCUAGCAUAUUUGAAUCAAACAACUAAAAACUGUAGGUGUGCCUACUGUAAGUUCACUGCUUUUGUAAAAUCAUUGGUUUAUACCCUUAGAGAUAUCAUUGUCAUAGAUGUAUACUUGUGAACAGCUGAAACUAUAAACUGCAAAUAGAUUAUAAAAUCUGCAAUAUUUAUCUUCAUUGAUUUGAAAAUCUCGAUCUAUAUAUUGUAUACUUAGCCACAAAUCUGUUAGUACUGGAAUAAAUUGCACAUCCAGUUCAUCUAUAGCUAUGUGUACACUGCUCUACAUCAAAAAUGUUGAUUAUUAUAAAUACAAAUAAAUACAGAAACUACAAAGUGAAAAAUAA
Molecule: long non-coding RNA, 1627 nt
Organism: Rhincodon typus (whale shark)
Lineage: Eukaryota; Metazoa; Chordata; Chondrichthyes; Orectolobiformes; Rhincodontidae
Exons: 2
Source: RefSeq, a predicted model, not a curated record